AUUGCAAUUACUCCUAAUCCCUAUUAGGGAUUGAAAC
Non-coding RNA from Desertifilum sp., 37 nucleotides. Lineage: Bacteria; Bacillati; Cyanobacteriota; Cyanophyceae; Desertifilales; Desertifilaceae. The record is from Rfam.